UUGUCGGCAAUGGGCGAAAGCCUGACCGCGCGACGCCGCGUGGAGGAAGACGGCCUUCGGGUUGUAAACUUCUUUUAUGAGGGACGAUUAUGACGGUACCUCAUGAAUAAGGGCCUGCUAACUACGUGCCAGCAGCAGCGGUAAUACGUAGGGCCCGAGCGUUAUCCGGAAUUAUUGGGCGUAAAGUGCGCGUAGGCGUUUUGAUAAGUCGGUCGUUAAAUCUCAUGGCUUAACCAUGAGGCCGCGAGCGAUACUAUCAGAAUUGAGUUAUACAGGGGCAAGCAGAAUUUCUGGAGUAGGGGUGAAAUCCGUUGAUACCAGAAGGAAUACCAAUGGCGAAGGCAGCUUGCUGGGUAUGACUGACGCUGAGAGCGCGAA
RNAcentral lists this ribosomal RNA (378 nucleotides) under uncultured bacterium. RNAcentral's name for it is "bacterial SSU rRNA". It matches the Rfam family "Bacterial small subunit ribosomal RNA", at positions 362 to 757 of the family's 1533-position model. The record is from RNAcentral.